AGAAUAGGAAAAUUGAUGAGUUUCACUACCAGAGAAUGUUCAGACUGAGAAGGGAGUUCGACAGGGCAUUGGGAUUGCUGCACAUGUUGAAGAACAGGGAGAUUUUGAAGCACCAAAUGAUAACCAACCUGGUGCAAACAGUACGAACAAUGUUUCGUACAAGAAAUUAUGGACAUGUUAUAAAUGGGUAUGAUCUGUCUAUUUGUCGCCUAUCGAGUUCUCCGGUUUCUGCUUCAAAACGGGAUUUCCAUUUCGGGGAUUUUUCGGAGGAGGGUACUCGGGAUGACUACGACGGAUUGCUCCAUCCUCGGGUAGUCACCAAGACCGUGUUCCGUGAAGUGCGUCCUCUCCCACCGAAGGAUAGUCUGGAUGCUGAGUACACAUUCCAACGUCGUCGUGGAUGUCGUUACUCCAUUCCCCUUGUAUUUUUGUUGUCCUCCAUUUUAGCGUCAUUUCCAAAUUGUUUCUCCUGAGAAAAAAAUAGUGUGUCAGUCUUCUCGAUUUAAGCGUCCUCUCAAUGAUGAGUCAUCCAGUCAGAUUUUCAAUUCUUUUUCUGCUGACGGAGUUCAAUCCCUUCUCUGUGAGACUGUCGAUAGUUUGUUGGAUAUUCCACGGACUUUGGAUGGCAAAUACAGUGCUGCCAAUUUGUUGGCUACAGCUGGGAGUUGUGAAUUAUCUCAAGUGGAUGAUGAUACUGUCGAGUAUGCUUGAAAGCUCCUUUUUUAUCUCAGAACUUAUUUUUGUGAUGUGCUGCUGCUUUUU
Molecule: long non-coding RNA, 762 nt
Organism: Octopus sinensis (East Asian common octopus)
Lineage: Eukaryota; Metazoa; Mollusca; Cephalopoda; Octopoda; Octopodidae
Exons: 3
Source: RefSeq, a predicted model, not a curated record